GUCCAGCUGGAGAGUCCCAAACAGAACGAAAGGCGCGUCCUGAAU
Molecule: non-coding RNA, 45 nt
Filed under: Schistosoma haematobium
Lineage: Eukaryota; Metazoa; Platyhelminthes; Trematoda; Strigeidida; Schistosomatidae
Source: RNAcentral